This 255-nucleotide ribosomal RNA is filed under the name uncultured bacterium. Its description in RNAcentral is "partial 16S ribosomal RNA". It matches the Rfam family "Bacterial small subunit ribosomal RNA", at positions 77 to 334 of the family's 1533-position model. The record is from RNAcentral.
CAAACUGAAGAUGGCGACCGGCGCACGGGUGAGUAACACGUAUCCAACCUGCCGAUAACUCCGGAAUAGCCUUUCGAAAGAAAGAUUAAUACCGGAUAGUAUACGAAUAUCGCAUGAUAUUUUUAUUAAAGAAUUUCGGUUAUCGAUGGGGAUGCGUUCCAUUGGUUUGUUGGCGGGGUAACGGCCCACCAAGACUACGAUGGAUAGGGGUUCUGAGAGGAAGGUCCCCCACAUUGGAACUGAGACACGGUCCAA